This 72-nucleotide transfer RNA is filed under the name Salmo salar (Atlantic salmon). It matches the Rfam family "tRNA". From Rfam's summary of the family: Transfer RNA (tRNA) molecules are approximately 80 nucleotides in length. The record is from Rfam by way of RNAcentral. Lineage: Eukaryota; Metazoa; Chordata; Actinopteri; Salmoniformes; Salmonidae.
UCCCGUGUAGCUCAGGUAGUAGAGCAUGGUGUUUGCAACACCAGGGUUGUGGGUUCGAUUCCCACAGGGGAC